This is a long non-coding RNA of Myripristis murdjan (pinecone soldierfish), 254 nucleotides long. RefSeq lists it as uncharacterized. The transcript has 3 exons. NCBI's taxonomy places the organism in Eukaryota, Metazoa, Chordata, Actinopteri, Holocentriformes, Holocentridae. The record is from RefSeq and is a predicted model, not a curated record.
AGAAGGAGAGGCUCCUGAAGAAAUUCAAACUCUGCGGCUGCAGCAGGACGUUUCUGAAUGAAGCUGAGAAUAUCUGCUGUUUGGAGAUACCACAGGUAGUAUCGCCACACCCAAAGAGAAAACUGGAACGGGGAUGGCCAAUACUGCAUCUGUGUAUGGUGCUGGGUCCACAAAGACUUUACGGCUGAGAGGAAUACACCAUUGUUACAGGUAUCCAGCAUAUUGCAGCUUUGUGAGCUGGUGCUGGGGCUUCC